CGUAGGCAGCAAGCGUUGUUCGGAAUUACUGGGCGUAAAGAGUGUGUAGGCGGUGCUCUAAGUUUGGUGUGAAAUCUCCCGGCUUAACCGGGAGGGUGCAUCGAAUACUGGGGUGCUCGAGGGUGGGAGAGGUAAGCGGAAUUCCUGGUGUAGCGGUGAAAUGCGUAGAUAUCAGGAGGAACACCUGUGGUGUAGACAGCUUACUGGACCACUUCUGACGCUGAGACACGAAAGCGUGGGUAGCAAACAGGAUUAGACACCCUGGUAGUCCACGCCCUAAACGAUGCAUACUUGGUGUGAGCCAUUCAUUUGGUUCGUGCGGGAGCUAACGCGUUAAGUAUGCCGCCUGGGGAGUACGGUCGCAAGGCUG
RNAcentral lists this ribosomal RNA (370 nucleotides) under uncultured organism. RNAcentral's name for it is "bacterial SSU rRNA". It matches the Rfam family "Bacterial small subunit ribosomal RNA", at positions 526 to 896 of the family's 1533-position model. The record is from RNAcentral.